UUUAUGUAUUGUUACACGUAUUACUAUUAAUAUCUACUUGCUGCUAUGACACCGU
This 55-nucleotide small RNA is filed under the name Oryza sativa Japonica Group (Japanese rice). RNAcentral describes it as "misc RNA OsRab11E1". Lineage: Eukaryota; Viridiplantae; Streptophyta; Magnoliopsida; Poales; Poaceae. The record is from RNAcentral.